Molecule: ribosomal RNA, 222 nt
Filed under: Mozena lurida
Lineage: Eukaryota; Metazoa; Arthropoda; Insecta; Hemiptera; Coreidae
Description: partial large subunit ribosomal RNA
Rfam family: Eukaryotic large subunit ribosomal RNA
Source: RNAcentral
GGACCUUGAAAAUCCGGGCGAGGGCCACGAGGAACACCGCGCCGGCUCGUACCCAUAUCCGCAGCAGGUCUCCAAGGUGAAUAGCCUCUAGUCGAUAGAAUAAUGUAGGUAAGGGAAGUCGGCAAACCCGAUCUGUAACUUCGGGAUAAGGAUUGGCUCUGAGGAUCGUGGCGCGCCGGGCUUGGUCGGGAAGUGGAGCGGUGCCAACGUGCCGGGCCUGGG